UCAUUGCUGAGUGGCAUAACUAUAAAAAAGUUAAAACUUUCAACAACGGAUCUCUUGGCUCUAGCAUCGAUGAAGAACGCAGCGAAAUGCGAUAAGUAAUGUGAAUUGCAGAAUUCAGUGAAUCAUCGAAUCUUUGAACGCACAUUGCGCCUGGCAGUAUUCUGCCAGGCAUGCCUGUCCGAGCGUCAUUU
Molecule: ribosomal RNA, 191 nt
Filed under: Ceratocystis platani
Lineage: Eukaryota; Fungi; Ascomycota; Sordariomycetes; Microascales; Ceratocystidaceae
Description: 5.8S ribosomal RNA
Rfam family: 5.8S ribosomal RNA (bases 35-188)
About the family: 5.8S ribosomal RNA (5.8S rRNA) is a component of the large subunit of the eukaryotic ribosome. It is transcribed by RNA polymerase I as part of the 45S precursor that also contains 18S and 28S rRNA. Functionally, it is thought that 5.8S rRNA may be involved in ribosome translocation.
Source: RNAcentral